RNAcentral lists this transfer RNA (63 nucleotides) under Derotettix mendosensis. Its description in RNAcentral is "tRNA-Gly". Lineage: Eukaryota; Metazoa; Arthropoda; Insecta; Hemiptera; Cicadidae. The record is from RNAcentral.
AUUCUUUUAUUAUAAUAAGUAUAUCUAACUUCCAAUUAGAAGGUUUGUCAUGCAAAAAGAAUA